RNAcentral lists this ribosomal RNA (376 nucleotides) under uncultured eukaryote. Its description in RNAcentral is "partial 18S ribosomal RNA". It matches the Rfam family "Eukaryotic small subunit ribosomal RNA", at positions 592 to 976 of the family's 1831-position model. The record is from RNAcentral.
CAAGAGCGUAUAUUAAAGUUGCUGCGGUUAAAAAGCUCGUAGUUGGAUUUCAGUCUAGGAAGGUUAACUCGCCGAAAGGUUGUACGUUGAUUUUCCUCAGACUUCGUCAGAAGCUCGUGCUGCACUUAACUGUGUGGUACGAUGUUCUGACCUUUUACCCUGAGGAAAGUAGAGUGUUUCAGGCAGGCUACCCAGCUUGAAUACAUUAGCAUGGAAUAAUGAAAUGGAUCUCGGUUCGAUUUCGUUGGUUCUAGAGCUGAGGUGAUGAUCAAUAGGAACAGGCGAAGGUAUUCGUACUUGAGAGUGAGGAGUGAAAUCCGAUGAUCUCUUAAAGACGAUCCGAGGCGAAAGCAUUUGUCAAGGAUGUUUUCAUUGA